GAUUGAUGAUAAUUCAGGCUUGUCUGCAGAAAGUGACAUUCAAGUUUAUAUUUAAACAGCAGAAAUC
RNAcentral lists this small nucleolar RNA (67 nucleotides) under Tetranychus urticae (two-spotted spider mite). Its description in RNAcentral is "snoRNA tetur09g06709". Lineage: Eukaryota; Metazoa; Arthropoda; Arachnida; Trombidiformes; Tetranychidae. The record is from RNAcentral.